GACGAACGCUGGCGGCGUGCUUAACACAUGCAAGUCGAACGGAAAGGCCCUGCUUUUGUGGGGUGCUCGAGUGGCGAACGGGUGAGUAACACGUGAGUAACCUGCCCUUGACUUUGGGAUAACUUCAGGAAACUGGGGCUAAUACCGGAUAGGAGCUCCUGCUGCAUGGUGGGGGUUGGAAAGUUUCGGCGGUUGGGGAUGGACUCGCGGCUUAUCAGCUUGUUGGUGGGGUAGUGGCUUACCAAGGCUUUGACGGGUAGCCGGCCUGAGAGGGUGACCGGCCAAAUUGGGACUGAGAUACAGCCCAGACUCCUACGGGAGGCAGAAGUGGGGAAUAUUGCACAAUGGGCGGAAGCCUGAUGCAGCAACGCCGCGUGCGGGAUGACGGCCUUCGGGUUGUAAACCGCUUUCGCCUGUGACGAAGCGUGAGUGACGGUAAUGGGUAAAGAAGCACCGGCUAACUACGUG
Molecule: ribosomal RNA, 468 nt
Filed under: uncultured bacterium
Lineage: Bacteria
Description: partial 16S ribosomal RNA
Rfam family: Bacterial small subunit ribosomal RNA
Source: RNAcentral